RNAcentral lists this small RNA (29 nucleotides) under Bombyx mori (domestic silkworm). Its description in RNAcentral is "ovarian small RNA-19060". The record is from RNAcentral. Lineage: Eukaryota; Metazoa; Arthropoda; Insecta; Lepidoptera; Bombycidae.
UAACUUCCAAGGUAGUCGUCCAUGUAGUU